RNAcentral lists this unclassified non-coding RNA (253 nucleotides) under uncultured bacterium. Its description in RNAcentral is "contains 16S-23S intergenic spacer region". It matches the Rfam family "Bacterial small subunit ribosomal RNA", at positions 524 to 776 of the family's 1533-position model. The record is from RNAcentral.
UACGAGGGGUGCAAGCGUUAUUCGGAAUUAUUGGGCGUACAGGGUGUGCAGGCGGCACGUUAAGUCUGUUGUUAAAGAUCUCGGCCUAACCGAGGGAAGGCGAUGGAUACUGGUGUGCUUGAGGAUGGAAGAGAGAAGUGGAAUUCUUGGAGUAGCGGUAAAAUGCGUAGAUCUCAAGAGGAACACCAAUGGCGAAAGCAGCUUCUUGGCCCAUUCCUGACGCUGAGACACGAAAGCGUGGAUAGCGAACAGG